CAGUCGACGGCAGCACGGGUGCUUGCACCUGGUGGCGAGUGGCGAACGGGUGAGUAAUACAUCGGAACGUACCUUAUCGUGGGGGAUAACGCAGCGAAAGCUGUGCUAAUACCGCAUACGCCCUGAGGGGGAAAGCGGGGGAUCGAAAGACCUCGCGCGAUUAGAGCGGCCGAUGCCUGAUUAGCUUGUUGGUGGGGUAAAAGCCCACCAAGGCGACGAUCAGUAGCUGGUCUGAGAGGACGAUCAGCCACACUGGGACUGAGACACGGCCCAGACUCCUACGGGAGGCAGCAGUGGGGAAUUUUGGACAAUGGGGGAAACCCUGAUCCAGCAAUGCCGCGUGAGUGAAGAAGGCCUUCGGGUUGUAAAGCUCUUUUGUCAGGGAAGAAACACCGGCUCUAACACAGUCCGGGAAUGACGGUACCUGAAGAAUAAGCACCGGCUAACUACGUGCCAGCAGCCGCGGUAAUACGUAGGGUGCGAGCGUUAAUCGGAAUUACUGGGCGUAAAGCGUGCGCAGGCGGUUAUACAAGACAGGCGUGAAAUCCCCGGGCUUAACCUGGGAAUGGCGCCUGUGACUGUAUAGCUAGAGUGUGUCAGAGGGGGGUAGAAUUCCACGUGUAGCAGUGAAAUGCGUAGAUAUGUGGAGGAAUACCAAUGGCGAAGGCAGCCCCCUGGGAUAACACUGACGCUCAUGCACGAAAGCGUGGGGAGCAAACAGGAUUAGAUACCCUGGUAGUCCACGCCCUAAACGAUGCUGACUAGUUGUUCGGGAUUUACAUCCUGAGUAACGUAGCUACGCGUGAAGUCAGCCGCCUGGGGAGUACGGUCGCAGAUUAAACUCAAGGAAUUGACGG
RNAcentral lists this ribosomal RNA (857 nucleotides) under uncultured bacterium. RNAcentral's name for it is "bacterial SSU rRNA". It matches the Rfam family "Bacterial small subunit ribosomal RNA", at positions 59 to 916 of the family's 1533-position model. The record is from RNAcentral.